Non-coding RNA from Poecilia reticulata (guppy), 297 nucleotides. NCBI's taxonomy places the organism in Eukaryota, Metazoa, Chordata, Actinopteri, Cyprinodontiformes, Poeciliidae. The record is from RefSeq and is a predicted model, not a curated record.
UAUGUUUGUUCUCCUCUUAUGUCCCCUUCAGAGACCAUUUAACUACCAUGGUGAAUGUACUCACAAACAUGAUGGGUGUGAUUGUAAUCCAUCAUUUCUGGGAAGCUGACGUGCUAGCCUUGGAAGAAAAACGAAGGACUGAYAAGGUUCGUUCCAACAGUGAACUCGAGCUGGACUUAACCUGUUUGGAGCCUGAUGACRAUCUCAUCCCGUCUGCAGCCUCCCCAUCAAGAUCMAUUUCACCUAAGUGAGGGGAUCGUCUCAGAACCAUAUUAACACCAACAAGCUGAAACCUCA